ACUGACUUGUCCAUGUAAAAGAAUCAGUGUGUAGGAGCUGUGUGAGCCAUUUUGAAUGUUUUGGAUACCCUUGUGGUGCAUUGAAUUGCAGAAGUUCAUUGAAUAUUGAAGACUGAGAUUGAGAAAGAUCACUCGAAACGAACGCAG
Long non-coding RNA from Gekko japonicus, 147 nucleotides. RefSeq lists it as uncharacterized. The transcript has 3 exons. The record is from RefSeq and is a predicted model, not a curated record. NCBI's taxonomy places the organism in Eukaryota, Metazoa, Chordata, Lepidosauria, Squamata, Gekkonidae.